GCAAUGGUUGUUCAGUGGUAGAACUUCUGCCUUCCAUGCUGGAGAUUCAGGUUCGAUGCCCAGCCAAGGCA
RNAcentral lists this transfer RNA (71 nucleotides) under Loxodonta africana (African savanna elephant). It matches the Rfam family "tRNA". From Rfam's summary of the family: Transfer RNA (tRNA) molecules are approximately 80 nucleotides in length. Their secondary structure includes four short double-helical elements and three loops (D, anti-codon, and T loops). Further hydrogen bonds mediate the characteristic L-shaped molecular structure. tRNAs have two regions of fundamental functional importance: the anti-codon, which is responsible for specific mRNA codon recognition, and the 3' end, to which the tRNAs corresponding amino acid is attached (by aminoacyl-tRNA synthetases). tRNAs cope with the degeneracy of the genetic code in two manners: having more than one tRNA (with a specific anti-codon) for a particular amino acid; and 'wobble' base-pairing, i.e. permitting non-standard base-pairing at the 3rd anti-codon position. Lineage: Eukaryota; Metazoa; Chordata; Mammalia; Proboscidea; Elephantidae. The record is from Rfam by way of RNAcentral.